UACGUAGGGUGCGAGCGUUGUCCGGAAUUAUUGGGCGUAAAGGGCUCGUAGGCGGUUUGUCGCGUCGGGAGUGAAAACCAUGAGCUUAACUCAUGGCUUGCUUUCGAUACGGGCAGACUAGAGGCAUGCAGGGGAGAACGGAAUUCCUGGCGUAGCGGUGAAAUGCGCAGAUAUCAGGAGGAACACCGGUGGCGAAGGCGGUUCUCUGGGCAUGUCCUGACGCUGAGGAGCGAAAGUGUGGGGAGCGAACAGG
Molecule: ribosomal RNA, 253 nt
Filed under: uncultured bacterium
Lineage: Bacteria
Description: partial 16S ribosomal RNA
Rfam family: Bacterial small subunit ribosomal RNA
Source: RNAcentral